This 85-nucleotide transfer RNA is filed under the name candidate division KSB3 bacterium. RNAcentral's name for it is "tRNA-Ser". It matches the Rfam family "tRNA". From Rfam's summary of the family: Transfer RNA (tRNA) molecules are approximately 80 nucleotides in length. Their secondary structure includes four short double-helical elements and three loops (D, anti-codon, and T loops). Further hydrogen bonds mediate the characteristic L-shaped molecular structure. tRNAs have two regions of fundamental functional importance: the anti-codon, which is responsible for specific mRNA codon recognition, and the 3' end, to which the tRNAs corresponding amino acid is attached (by aminoacyl-tRNA synthetases). tRNAs cope with the degeneracy of the genetic code in two manners: having more than one tRNA (with a specific anti-codon) for a particular amino acid; and 'wobble' base-pairing, i.e. permitting non-standard base-pairing at the 3rd anti-codon position. The record is from RNAcentral.
GGAGGAGUGGCCGAGUGGUUGAAGGCGGCGGUCUUGAAAACCGUUUUCGUGAACGCGAACGUGGGUUCGAAUCCUACCUCCUCCG